This 253-nucleotide ribosomal RNA is filed under the name uncultured bacterium. RNAcentral's name for it is "partial 16S ribosomal RNA". It matches the Rfam family "Bacterial small subunit ribosomal RNA", at positions 524 to 776 of the family's 1533-position model. The record is from RNAcentral.
UACAGAGGGGGCAAGCGUUGUUCGGAAUUACUGGGCGUAAAGGGCGCGUAGGCGGCCUGCUAAGUCGAACGUGAAAUCCCUGGGCUCAACCCAGGAACUGCGUCCGAUACUGGUUGGCUUGAAUCCGGGAGAGGGAUGUGGAAUUCCAGGUGUAGCGGUGAAAUGCGUAGAUAUAGGAAGGAACACCAGUGGCGAAGGCGACCACCUGGACUGAUACUGACACUGAGGUGCGAAAGCGUGGGGAGCAAACAGG